This 2183-nucleotide long non-coding RNA is filed under the name Homo sapiens (human). RNAcentral's name for it is "long non-coding RNA NONHSAT006646.2". Lineage: Eukaryota; Metazoa; Chordata; Mammalia; Primates; Hominidae. The record is from RNAcentral.
CGUUGCUUUUAUUUAAUCACUUCCCCAGCCCUUCCAUCGCCUUUUUUGAGGAUAAGAAACCCAAAGUUCCCAGAGAUUAACUUGCCCAAGAUCACUUGGCCUGGAUUUGAGCCUGAGGCUCAGACUCCAAAACCCACACUCAAUUUGCUACAUCUCCCAGGGGUGGGGCCAAGGCAGCUGUGAGCAAAAGGAGAAGUAUCAGCUUCUCAAGGGCCUAGGGUUUGUUGGAAGGGCAAGGCAAGGGCAAAGGGGGAUACAGAACAAGGGGGCAAGUACCAGUGCCUGGGAUGGACCCAUCCAUUCAGGCAGGGGGUGUGGGGUGUCCCCUGUGCUUAGAAACCACCUAGCAUCAUAGCUGCAACAGCACUUUAUUGGGAUCUGAGUCUACAGUUCACAUAGGGAGGUGAAGCCGUGGGAGAAGCAGGGGUAAAAAAAAAAAGGGGGGGGACUUCACCCCCUAGGGACAGCUGCUUCCAAACCUAACAAAACCCCAGGGUAAGUCCUCGUGCUGGGCCUCGAGCCAGCAACUCUAGUCAAAUCCCAAGGCACCGGUCAGCAUGUGGGUCAAGGGGCCCACUAUGGGGACAUACACUCAAGAGGAUGAAAGCUCUUUAGCUUCAGAAUCAGAUUGCCUUCCCCAGACCCCACCCCAAAACAGGCUCCUCUCCCAUCUCCCCCUUCACAGUGACAAAACACAAGCCCACAUCCCAGGGCCUGGAGUAUUUGCAUGCAUUUGCAUAGACGGCAACGCAGGUCCAGCUAAGGCCUUUUUCUACAUAAAGUGACAUCAGUGCAGGGCUGGUGAUUUUGCUCUACUGUGUGAAAGAUAUCUGAGGACACCAAACAAGCCAGGACAGAGUCCACCCUCCAGGAGUUAGAUAACGCUGGGAUCUUGGGCUGGGCCAGGCCAAGGCCAUUCCCUGUGGGGCAGGGUGUCAGCCCCGGUGGUGGUGGUGGUGGCUAUGGCUGUGCCCCUCCCUGGGCCCCGCAGCUCUUGGGCUCUCUGCCCACCUCUUCUUCAGUGCUUUGUCUCCAAAGAAGUGGCUGAAGAUGAAGUCCUCAAAGUCAUCUACUUCAUCAUCAUCACCUGUCUGUUGCACAGCCACCUCCUCCAAGCUGUCCUCCAGGGCAUCCACAAAAUCCCGGAAGCGGAGGCGGUCAUGACGGAAGAUGCCAUCCUCACCAAAGAAAGCAGGUGAGAGGGGUAGCUCCUUGGUCAGCUGCCCAGCCCAGGGCAGCCGUGCCAAGUAUGUUCUUAGCAGAGAGGCCAGCUCCUGUUGCCGCACUGGGGCUAGCUCUGUGCCAAAGAAAGUCAGGCCCUCCUGCCGGGCACACUCGUCCACACCUGAGCAGCCCUGGGGUGCCCGGUACUUGGGCCUCAACAGCUCUGCCCAGGAUGGCAGGGGGUCAUGGCUGUCCUUAGUCCCUUCCCUCCACCGAGGUUGCUUCUGCUUUUCUCCAGAGGAGUGGAAGCUACCACUUUUCCUUGGGGGUUCCUUCGGGCCCUGUCGCUUGCCCUCCUUCUUGCUCCCCGACUCCUCCACCCUUGGCCUGCCCUCCUUCCACCUUCCUGCUGGCUCCCUGUCCUCCUGACCUCCCCAGUUCUUCUUCCUUUCCCGGCCAGAUUCUUCCUUCUUAUGUUUCCAGUGCUCAGCCUUCCGGUCUCUCUGCCCAUCCCACCACUUUUCCUUUCCACUCCACUCCCUAGAAUUCUGGAAGUGGGACUUCUGGUGCCAGGCCUUUGAGGCAUUGGCAGAGACCCCAGGGUCCUGGCCCCAGUUCUCCAGGCCCUGCAGUUUCUGGGCCAAUCUGUGGCCCAGCUCAGCCAAGCCAGCAUGAGCUGGGUCCCCGCGGCUGGCAUCCUGCAAGCUCCUCUCCAGAUCCUGCUGUACAGACCCCAGCAGCCGUCGCUGCCUCUCUAACUCUUGCCUUAAUGCCUGUGCCUCAGCCUCCAGCUGUUCCUUCUGCUUCAGGAAGCUGAGUUCUGGCUCCUGCUCCCUGGGGCCUUGCUCCCUGAUGGCCUUGUCACCCUGUGGGCCUCUACCCCCACUGAGGCACACCCCAUCUGGGCCCCGGACACAGUCGGCCUCCAGCCCCUGGAGCCGGGCCCGCAGCUGCUGCAGCUCUGACUCCAGAGCCCGCUGGAAGGCUUCGCCCUGCUGCAGAGCCCCCCGGAGCUGGGC